CUUGCUACCAUUCGUGAGAGCAUUAGUACGCUAAUCAAGCAUUAACAUUAAUCAAAGAGAUAUUCAAUCCUACUCUGAACAUGUCUGGAUGACAGAAGAGCCAAGAUGCUGACAGAUAUAUAUGCCUUACUUGCAAAAGCAUCAUUAUUAGUAGAUCUUGCACCAAUCACAGCAGUGGGGGAGGAAUUUUAGGAAAAUAGGUUUAAAAUAGACCAAGUUUAACAGACAUGAGCAAAAUGGAUUGACAGUUGUCAGAGCUAAAUACACUCAGUUACACAAUGGAGCUUCUGCUUUCUGGCAGAUGACUGGUUUAUUUUAAAAUCAUUUUAUAUAUCUAAUUUCUUCUCCUUUGCCUUUGUGACCCUUCAUGGAUGAUACAAAUUUUGAGAGAGAUCUGAGAUUCUGACACUGGAAUUCUGGAAGUGCAGGCAGUAUUUUGCAGAUUUCCCACAAGAAAGUACCCUCUCAGCUCAGAAGUUUCUCAAGCACCUAUGACUUGGCUGAUAGAAAAGGGAGCAUAUUAUUUUUAACUGAACUGCCACGGAUAUAAUAAAGUCUGCAAUAAAUUAAAUGAGAAAGUCAGACACCUGUUCUACCCCCUUGUUCACUACAGGGCAGUCUUCAGAGGUGAGCACAGGCACGAGGGAACGUUUACGGUGCAGGAACAAAGACACCAUUGACCCCUGACAUCAUUUAAAGCUACUUGAUGCCAAGGACUUCCUCACUUUAUACGGAUAUUGAAACAAAUAAGUCAUGGAAAUGAUGACUGACCCCAGCCAUAUGGGAACAGAGAGAUUAGCUGCUAAUAUGGAAAGUUACCUGGCCAGUGUUGAGAUCAGUCCCAAGGGAAGUGGAAAGAUCACAGGGAGGACUGCCGAAGCCGUGAGGGACCCCAUCUGCAGAGCCGAAUCACAGAGUCUUUGAGGUUGGAAGAGAUUGCCUCUUGUCCUGUCACUGGAUUCCACUGACCCAUCUUCUUGUCUGCUUCCCAUCAGGUAUUUUAUGCAUUAAAAAGUGCCCCAGGAGGCUUUUCUUCUAUAGGAUAAGCACUCCCAGCCCUCUGCACCUCUUAGUAAAUCAGAUGCUCUGGUCCCUGUUGCCCUUUGCUGGACUUAACCCCAGUAUACCCAUGUCUCUGUUGUACUGGGAAGCCCAGAAACCUUUAAAAACAGCCCAUCAGACAUUAUAAACUUAAUCUGAUGUUCAGUACUUCUGACACUGGAUCUUCUGGUCCUUUGCUGUCUCUCCUGGGCUUUUUCUGUCUG
Molecule: long non-coding RNA, 1265 nt
Filed under: Anas platyrhynchos platyrhynchos (common mallard)
Lineage: Eukaryota; Metazoa; Chordata; Aves; Anseriformes; Anatidae
Description: lncRNA (ENSAPLG00000027532.1)
Source: RNAcentral